UUUGUACCUUGGGGCAGUUUUUAACCUAAACUGGUAAGAAUAAGCUUAGGGGGUCUUUCAUGCAGGUCCCCACAUCUGUACCCUAGAGUUCAGAGUGGGGAAGGAACCUUGACAGUUUCCUUUUGUAAUUUUCGAUACUUUAAUGAAGUCUCAUCUAAUUUUCUUUUUUCUCAGUUAAAUAAUCUUAGUCUUUGCAGUCAUAAUUUCAUGUUUUUCUCCUUAGGGUUAGGUAACCAAAUCUGCACAUGGUACUUCAGUAAUGUGCAUUUGUAUAUACUUUUUGCAUUGUUUUUCCUCUGUUUUUGUAACGCAUUACAUGUCCCAUUUGCCUCUUAAACAGCUUUUGUACACUUCAAAAACAUUGUGUUUGAGGGCCAAAUCCUGGCCUGGCUAAAGCAACAUCUGCCCCCUUACUCCCUUGCCCUGGCUACUCACAUCAUGGGCAGCAGCACGGGAGAGGAUGCUAUAUUUCCGACCCUGCACAACCUAGAUGUACAGGGGUAUCCCUGGCCAGGCACUGUGCUCUGGCAAUCUCUACCUCCAUAGCCCGUGUAACUAUGCCACAGUCUGGUUUGGCCUUCAGUCAGGCCAACUAUCAGAAGAGCUGAAAAGAUCAGGGGAGCUACCUUUUCUCCUCCAUUUGAGGGUCCUGCAUAGAAUUUAGCUCAGUUGGUCCUGAGGAUCCAGCUCCAGGAGUUUGAAGUGGAAAGAUUCAGCUGUGCAAGCCGGGAAAGAGCAGCAGAGCAUAAACCACUUGAUAAGUAUUUGAUGGUGAUCUGAAAUAAUCUUGUCCAUAAUAGUAAGAGGAAAAAGAAGGUCAGAAGAGCAAGAACCUUUAACAGCAAAGAGGUUCAAAUAUUUAUCCAUUAUUUCAAACUAGCUGUUUUCAGUUAUCAGCUGUUUAUUGCAAGAUCAGAAACUGUUACAUUAUGCAGAGUUUAGAAAAAAAGUGUGACUUGACUGUGAUUUUGUGUCACAUUUUGAAUUGCUAAGGCUAGGCAGGUGCAUAAAUUGUAUUGCCUAAUAACUUCUUUCACACAUACUGCCAAAGCUGCUGGUUUUGGGUGUGCAUUUUCUGUCAGCUUCUUUGCUUUUCUGUUAGCAGCUCCACAGAUUUCUUCCCAGUUCUACUACAGAUACAGGAGAGGCCAAGCAUCUGGGAGAUCAGCAGAACAGCUGGGUGGAAGCAUGGCAGAAGCACAGAGCAGGUGGCAAAGAGGAAAGCAACUUUUUUCUUUUAAAGCUUGUUUCUUUUGAAACUUGUGAGAACAAACUGAGUCCUUAGAAUUGUUGAAGAGGGACUACUUUGGAAAGGGAAAAUUGUUUAAUUGGAAGAUGAGGGGCAAAUCAUGUAAAAUUUCAAGUCACACCAAUACAAAGGGGUUUUCACAGUGUACUGAUACCAAAGGAGCUGGAUAGGCUGUUGUCAUAAAUAUAAAGGGAAGGGUAAACAUCUUUAAAAUCCCUCCUGGCCAGAGGAAAAAUCCUUUCACCUGUAAAGGGUUAAGAAGCUAGGAUAACCUCGAAGGCACCUGACCAAAAUGACCAAUGAGGAGACAAGAUACUUUCAAAAGCUGGGGGGAGGGAGAAAACAAAUCUCUCUCUCUCUCUGUCUGUGUGAUGCUUUUGCUGGGGACAGAACAGGAAUGGAGUCUUAGAACUUAGUAAGUAAUCUAGCUAGAUAUGCGUUAGAUUAUGAUUUCUUUAAAUGGCUGAGAAAAUAAGCUGUGCUGAAUAGAAUGCAUAUUCCUGUCUGUGUGUCUUUUUGUAACUUAAGAUUUUGCCUAGAGGGAUUCUCUAUGUUUUGAAACUAAUUACCCUGUAAGGUAUUUACCAUCCUGAUUUUACAGAGGUGAUUCUUUUUUACUGUUUCUUCUAUUAAAAUUCUUCUUUUCAAGAACUGAAUGGUUUUUUCAUUGUUCUUAAGAUCCAAGGGUUUGGGUCUGUGGUCACCUAUGCAAAUUGGUGAGGAUUUUUACCAAACCUUCCCCAGGAAGUGGGGUGCAAGGAUUGGGAGGCUUUUGGGGGGCAAGACGUUUCCAAACGGGCUCUUUCCUAAUAAAAAUAAACCCGGUCAGAUGUUUGGUGGUGGCAGUGGAAGUCCAAGAGCAAAGGGUAAAAUAGUUUGUACCUUGGGGAAGUUUUAACCUAAGCUUAUAAAAGUAAGCUUAGGAGGUAUUCAUGCAGGUCCCCACAUCUGUACCCUAGAGUUCAGAGUGGGGAAGGAACCUUGACAGCUGUAUACAUAAAUAGAAUCACUAUCUUAACCCUGUAGGGAGAAGUAAAAGACAGUUAAUAAUUGUGUGUAGAAAACAGGGAUAUUUUUGAACACAGACAACACAUUAUAAUGCAGUUGAUAAUACAUUUCAUAACUCUGAUACAGAAAAGGCAAAGCUUGUUUCAUCAGAAUUAUGUGUAUAAGAGAAUAUGGUUAAUUUAAAAUUGGAUCUAAUUUUAUUCCCAAACAGAUUUAGUUUCAUAAAAAUUAACUAAUUUACUGAGAGCGUGACUAAUAAGGUAAUUAAAAAUGAUUUUAGAUACAACAACAAAAUACAAAUUUCAAAGGAUGGAUGUAUUAGUGUUUAAUUUUGUAAAUAUUGAGGCUGCUCAGGGCUGGAGUACACCAAACCCCUGAGGUGCCAGCUCAGAGGCAAGUACAGUAGGUCACACUCUGAGGCCACCAAAACAUUUGUUGUGAGAACCCCUGAGGGACUGCCAUGUACCCUAAUGUGUAUCCUUCUGACAAUGGCUGAUAGGUGGUGGUGCAGCAUUGCCGGGGCAUAAAGAUACUCCACUAACUCCCUCCUGUCCCUGAAAUUCCACCACAGAAUUCUCCAUGAACAGAGGGUGGGAGGGAGAAUAUGGGUACGCAGUAAUUGUUAAUCAUGCCUCUAGCCACCAUACUUCUUAACAUUCCCCGUAACACUUCCAAAAUGGAAGUGAGAAAGGCAUGGAGGGUGGAGAUAACUGGGGAAAUAAGGUAAAAAAGAAACUUCUUUUGAGUUGUACUCACAUAAAAUAUGGCGCUUAAAGCAGAAAGGGCAUUGAUCCAAUUAUAUCAUCCUACACCUAUGAGGUCUGGUCUCUGGAGUCUGGCACACAGUUUCCAAAUUACCAUCUAUAUUAGCUUAAAAACUAGAAAACCCAAAUUUUCAAUUUUAGUGGUGGCAAAAGAAGAUACAAGUUGGAUCUACUCUGACUUCCUGCUAAUAAAUUCUGCUAGUUGGUCUGUAUAAAAAUGUUGAACCCUUCAAUUGGAAUUCCAGCCAGAAUUGGCAUAGGAACAAAGGUUCAAAUCUCGCCUCUAGGAUUACCAGCACCUCUGGCUGUAUGGGCUUUGGACAGAAUUUAAAACAGCUAAAUAGAAGAAAGAAAAAUACAAAAAUAGCUGAGCUUUCCCCAUGAUAUUUUGCUUUGGAACAUCCUUAAGUGAAUGGCUGUAUAAUACACCUCUAGAGAUAUACAGUGCCAGAUUAAAAGUGUGUUUCUCUUUCACAAAGAGAAUAUACAGCUAGAUUUCAGCCAAGAGUUUAAAAACAGGAAUAAAAAGUUAGGCUUCUAAAUUAGCAAUUAAAAACCUGCCUGAAUUCCAAAAGUGCAGAAUGCCCGGGAGCUCGCAUGCAAGUAAAUUGGAGAUGCUGGGUGCACAGGACACAAAUAAAGACCAUGCCUGCCCUGCCCUGAUAAGUUUACAGUCUAUGGGUAUGUCUUCACUGCAGCAUUAACUCAGAUGGUCAGCACCCAGGUUUGCCUAAGCAGGGUGCAAGCAGCCACACUGCAAAGCUGUACUGCCAAUUGUGUUGUUAGGAUUUCUGAGGGUUCAUCCCAGGGUUCUUUGUGGGGCAAUAAGCUGCUCUAUGAGUCAUUCCCAGUGAAUUGUGGAAGAAUGUAUCUGUCCUGAUCCCCACUGGGGGAAUUGUGGGAAGGCAUUGGAGGAAUAACAGCACUCAAAGUGAUUUAGCCUAUGUCCUUGCUGCAAAGUGGGUGGUUUACCCGCCUGAAUGAAAGCAGCAGGGUGAUUCCAGCCCAUAAAGUCAGCAGGGCCUGCUAGCUGGGGUUAAAAGCGCCACCAAAUUCGGGUGAAAGGAUUUUGUGUGUGGAUGGGAGCAGGGCUGGCGCAAUAUCUGACUAAGAGCUAACUCUGCAAUGAAGACAUACCCCUAAGGGCUAGCUAGAUUGUGCAGUUUAGGCACAGCCAUCCGUUAGGAGUGGUGCAGAACUGGACAAACUCAAUGAGGCUGAAUUCCUCCUUACCAGUACAAAAUCUACUGCUUCACUUUAAGGGCUUCAGGCAGCAUACUCUGCUCUCUUGCAUUUGCAGAGAGGCAAAGCCAUUGGUUAUGCCUAUGUGCCCCAAUGGAUGUGGAUGGAAGCAAUCUCUCUGGACUGCAAUUAUGCCUGUCUCUUAUAUGUGCCACACAAAGGAGGGGGAAGCUCCUUACUUCUGGUCCUCCCUCCCCAUAUCCUGUGCACCUGCAUAAGCGCUAGGCAUAAUCUAGCCCCCUAAAUGAGUUUACAAGCUCCUAUGAUUGUCUCUUGUCAUUAGUUCUGAUGCUUUAGAAAAGGGCAGGGAGAAAAACAUGUUCCGUAUUUUGAGCACCUCUGUCACAAGCACAGCUAGUAAAACCGAAAUAUUGUACAAAUAAGAUUCGUCUUAGCCCCGGAAACAAAGGUAGUGCCUUUGGAACAAUUUACUGAUGGCCAUGAUGGAUUUUCCAUCACUGAGAACAAUUUCUAAAUCAAGAUCGGACUUUUUUCUAAAAAAUAUGGUCUAGGAAUUCUUUUGGGGAAGUUCUAUGGCCUAUGGUAUACAAUAGGUCAUACUGUGAUCACAAUAGUCCCUUCUGGCCUUAAAAUCAGUGAAUGUAUGAAUAUUUUGCAGUGAGGUAGAGAUGUAUCUUUUAUUAGCCAUUAUAUGCAGCCAUUUUAAAAAAAUGUCAGUUCAAAGAUUCUUUCCUUUUUUUAAAGGAAAGGACAGUCGUAAUUCAAUGGACUGAUGACAGGGUAUAGGAGUCAGAAGUUCUAGGUUAUUCUCCUUCCCCUUCCUCUGACUUACUCUGUGUUCAUGGGAAGACCAUUUAAAUUCCCUGCCUCCAUUUCUCCAUGUUAUCCUUGUGACACUCUGUACCUCAGGGCAGUGCCCUGGAACCCCUGUAUCCACACCGUCAUAUGGUUAUGACAUAUUUCAUAUAGAGCAUGUCAGGGGGAUGACAUGUGAAAGGUCAUGAUCUCCAGAAGCCCAUUGUUCUGACUGGGUGUGUGUAUCAUUGAUGGGGUGUGUGUGGGGGUGGGGGUUGGUUUGCUGUAUGGUUGUUACUGAAAUAUGCUGUAAGUUUGUUAGUGAUAUACAAAGGCAGCAAACCAUUCUCAGGAGGGUGCUCAACGACCAUUAAUCAGCAGGGAAGUUGUAAUCAAGGGAUCUACAAUUCAAUGAGGGCUGCCCAAGCACCACACAACGGGGACUGCUCAGAUCUAUGACUCAGUUGCACAAGACCACCAGUGGGAUUGCUCAACCCUGUGACUCAGCAAAGCCCGCCAGGACAUUUCUGGGUAAGUGUUGUCUAGGCACAUGGACUAAGGAUAUAAAAUAGAAGAUGUGGCAUCAUGUUUUUGCCUUUCUGUUCCCCCAUCUAUGCUGGAAGCGACAGGAAUGCCGAGAAAAUGAAGGUCAUCUGAGGAGACUGGUCCAGGUUUAAGGAGAAGCCUGUGCGUUAAGAACUGUAACAUCCAGUGGGCUUCCCCUGUAAACUUUGCAUCUGCCAUCUCUGCCUGAAAGCAUGAAUCCUGCACUACUCACCAGUCAUGUGAUAAGUGUUAUGAACACAACACAGCUGAUUCUGCAGUAUUUCAUGAGCUGUGAAUCUGAAAAAGAAUCCAUGCUGCCUGCCCUGCUUUGUGCCAUGGAAAGAAAAUUCAAGACUGAUGUUGGCAUUCACAGAGCAGCUGCACACAGUGGACCAUCGCUACUGGGCUUGGGAAACUAGCACUGAGUGGUCGGAUCAGAUUUUGAUGCAGGUACGGGAUCGUGAGCAGUGGCUGCAGAACUUUCAUGUGCACGAAGCCACCUUCCUUGAACCCUGCAAGGAGCUCGUCCCUGCCCUGUGGUACAAGGACACAAAAAUGAGAGCUGCCCUAAUGGUGGAAAAGCCAGUGGCAAUCGCUGUGUGGAAUCUGGCAGCUCCAGACUGCUACCGGUCAGUCACGAAUCAGUUUGGACUUGGGAAGUCCAUCGUGGGGGUGCAGUGGUGCAAGUGUGUAGGGCCAUUUUCAAUCUCCUGCUACGAAGGACUGUGACUCUGGGCAAUUUGUGGGAAAUAGUGGAUGGCUCUGCAGCAAUGGAAUUUCCUUACUGCGGCAGGGCGAUAGAUGGUACACAUAUCCCAAUUUUGGCCCCAGACCAUUUUGCAACGGAGUACAUCAAUAGAAGGGGCUGCUUCUCUAUGGUAUUGCAGGUGCUGGUGGAUCUCCAGAGUUGUUUCACUGACAUCAGUGCAGGGUGGUUAGGGAAGGUGCAUGGUGCAUAUAUCUUCAGGAACACUGGCUUGUAUAGAAAGCUGCAUGCAGGGACUGUGUUUGAAGACCAGAAGAUUUCAACAGGGAAUGUGGAAAUGCCCAUAGUGAUUCUGGGAGACCCAGCCUACCCCUUACUUCCAUGGCUCAUGAAGCCUUACACUAGAAACCUUGACAGCAGCAAGGAGUGCUUCAACAACAGGCUCAACAGAUGCAGAAUGACCGUUGAAUGUGCAUUUGGUAGAUUACAUUGUAGCUGGCACUGCCUUUCUGGCAGGUUAGACCUUAAUGAGGAAAAUAUUCCCAUGGUCAUAGCAGCCUGCUGUGCUCUGCAUAACAUUUGUGAAACCAAAGGGGAAACAUUUCCCAAGAGGUGGAGGGCUGAAGUGGAUCACUUGGUGACUGAUUUUGAGCAACCAGACACCAGGGCUAUUAGAGGGGCUCAACAGCGGGCUAUUUGAAUCAGGGAGGCUUUUAAGCAGCAUUUUGACAAUGAGCCCUAGUAAUGUGUCUGUCUGUAAUUCAUUCAGCCAGACAUUGUUUACUUACCACAUUGAAUGACCCCUGUAAUGAUUCCUGCCUGAGAGUUAAUUGUAGUCUGCAAAUGUGCCAGUUGCUGCCGUGUAUGAAUUUCUAUUGUAAUCACCCUGUGUAGGUCACAAAUAAAGAACCACUGUCUUUGUAA
Long non-coding RNA from Chelonia mydas (Green sea turtle), 7195 nucleotides. RefSeq lists it as uncharacterized. The record is from RefSeq and is a predicted model, not a curated record. Lineage: Eukaryota; Metazoa; Chordata; Testudines; Cheloniidae. The transcript has 2 exons.